CCCUCGCGUACUGGCACUUGGAGAAGUGGCAAGUCUUCCAGUAUGGGGAGCAAAACAGCUAUGGGUCAAGUCCGAUAUCUUUAGGAGAAGUCUUAUUGUGAGGGCGAGUUAUAUAACACCAUAGGACUGGCCGUCCCAUAUGAAAAGAUUAUAUUAGAAUUGAAUGAAGCUUUGUUUAUAUAUUGAUAAUGACAGUAUAUAUAUCGUGUCUUGACUAAUUGCGUGCCAGCAGUCGCGGUAAUACGUAAGAGACUAGUGUUAUUCAUCUUAAUUAGGUUUAAAGGGUACCCAGACGGUCAAUAUAGCUUAUAAAAUGUUAGUACUUGACUAGAGUUUUAUGUAAGAGGGCAGUACUUGAGGAGGAGAGAUGAAAUUUCGUGAUACCAAAGGGACUCUGUAAAGGCGAAGGCAGCCCUCUAUGUAAAAACUGACGUUGAAGGACGAAGGCACAGAGAACAAACAGGAUUAGAUACCCAAGUAGUCUUUGCAGUAAAUGAUGAAUGCCAUAGGUUAGAUUGGUCAAUUAUAGUCUAGGGUUAGUCUAGCAAACUAAUACCCUAUGCUAUAAUCCUAAUAUCUGGUCUAUAAAUGAAAGUGUAAGCAUUUCACCUCAAGAGUAAUGUGGCAACGCAGGAACUGAAAUCACUAGACCGUUUCUGACACCAGUAGUGAAGUAUGUUAUUUAAUUCGAUUGAUACCGCA
Molecule: ribosomal RNA, 702 nt
Filed under: Fusarium oxysporum
Lineage: Eukaryota; Fungi; Ascomycota; Sordariomycetes; Hypocreales; Nectriaceae
Description: SSU rRNA
Rfam family: Bacterial small subunit ribosomal RNA
Source: RNAcentral